This 857-nucleotide ribosomal RNA is filed under the name Lactococcus lactis subsp. lactis. RNAcentral describes it as "bacterial SSU rRNA". It matches the Rfam family "Bacterial small subunit ribosomal RNA", at positions 33 to 873 of the family's 1533-position model. Lineage: Bacteria; Bacillati; Bacillota; Bacilli; Lactobacillales; Streptococcaceae. The record is from RNAcentral.
ACGCUGGCGGCGUGCCUAAUACAUGCAAGUUGAGCGCUGAAGGUUGGUACUUGUACCAACUGGAUGAGCAGCGAACGGGUGAGUAACGCGUGGGGAAUCUGCCUUUGAGCGGGGGACAACAUUUGGAAACGAAUGCUAAUACCGCAUAAAAACUUUAAACACAAGUUUUAAGUUUGAAAGAUGCAAUUGCAUCACUCAAAGAUGAUCCCGCGUUGUAUUAGCUAGUUGGUGAGGUAAAGGCUCACCAAGGCGAUGAUACAUAGCCGACCUGAGAGGGUGAUCGGCCACAUUGGGACUGAGACACGGCCCAAACUCCUACGGGAGGCAGCAGUAGGGAAUCUUCGGCAAUGGACGAAAGUCUGACCGAGCAACGCCGCGUGAGUGAAGAAGGUUUUCGGAUCGUAAAACUCUGUUGGUAGAGAAGAACGUUGGUGAGAGUGGAAAGCUCAUCAAGUGACGGUAACUACCCAGAAAGGGACGGCUAACUACGUGCCAGCAGCCGCGGUAAUACGUAGGUCCCGAGCGUUGUCCGGAUUUAUUGGGCGUAAAGCGAGCGCAGGUGGUUUAUUAAGUCUGGUGUAAAAGGCAGUGGCUCAACCAUUGUAUGCAUUGGAAACUGGUAGACUUGAGUGCAGGAGAGGAGAGUGGAAUUCCAUGUGUAGCGGUGAAAUGCGUAGAUAUAUGGAGGAACACCGGUGGCGAAAGCGGCUCUCUGGCCUGUAACUGACACUGAGGCUCGAAAGCGUGGGGAGCAAACAGGAUUAGAUACCCUGGUAGUCCACGCCGUAAACGAUGAGUGCUAGAUGUAGGGAGCUAUAAGUUCUCUGUAUCGCAGCUAACGCAAUAAGCACUCCGCC